RNAcentral lists this ribosomal RNA (468 nucleotides) under uncultured bacterium. RNAcentral's name for it is "partial 16S ribosomal RNA". It matches the Rfam family "Bacterial small subunit ribosomal RNA", at positions 28 to 507 of the family's 1533-position model. The record is from RNAcentral.
GAUGAACGCUGGCGGCGUGCUUAACACAUGCAAGUCGAACGGAAAGGCCCUGCUUUUGUGGGGCGCUCGAGUGGCGAACGGGUGAGUAACACGUGAGUAACCUGCCCUUGACUUUGGGAUAACUUCAGGAAACUGGGGCUAAUACCGGAUAGGAGCUCCUGCUGCAUGGGGGGGGUUGGAAAGUUUCGGCGGUGGGGGAUGGACUCGCGGCUUAUCAGCUUGUUGGUGGGGUAGUGGCUUACCAAGGCUUUGACGGGUAGCCGGCAUGGGAGGUUGACCGGCCACAUUGGGACUGAGGUACGCCCCAGACUCCUACGGGAGGCAGCAGUGGGAAAUAUUGCACAGUGGGCGGAAGCCUGAUGCGGCGACGCCGCGUGCGGAAUGACGGCCUUCGGGUUGUAAACCGCUUUCGCCUGUGACGAGGCGUGAGUGACGGUAAUGGGUAAAGAAGCACCGGCUAACUACGUG